RNAcentral lists this ribosomal RNA (300 nucleotides) under uncultured Paenibacillus sp. RNAcentral's name for it is "bacterial SSU rRNA". It matches the Rfam family "Bacterial small subunit ribosomal RNA", at positions 496 to 795 of the family's 1533-position model. Lineage: Bacteria; Bacillati; Bacillota; Bacilli; Caryophanales; Paenibacillaceae. The record is from RNAcentral.
GCUACUAACGGGACAGCGGGAGGGUAAAGACGUAGGGUGGGAGCUGUAAUCGGAAUUACUGGGCGUAAAGUGUGCGCAGGCCGCCGGGGAAGUCGAGUGGGAAAGCCCCGAGCUUAACUGGGGAACUGCGCUCGAAACUAUUUGGCUAGAGUGUGGCAGAGGGAAGUGGAAUUCCACGUGUAGCGGUGAAAUGCGUAGAGAUGUGGAGGAACACCGAUGGCGAAGGCAGCCUCCUGGGCCAACACUGACGCUCAUGCACGAAAGCGUGGGGAGCAAACAGGAUUAGAUACCCGAGUAGUC